Molecule: ribosomal RNA, 468 nt
Filed under: uncultured bacterium
Lineage: Bacteria
Description: partial 16S ribosomal RNA
Rfam family: Bacterial small subunit ribosomal RNA
Source: RNAcentral
GACGAACGCUGGCGGCGUGCUUAACACAUGCAAGUCGAACGGAAAGGCCCUGCUUUUGUGAGGUGCUCGAGUGGCGAACGGGUGAGUAACGCGUGAGUAACCUGCCCUUGACUUUGGGAUAACUUCAGGAAACUGGGGCUAAUACCGGAUAGGAGCUCCUGCUGCAUGGUGGGGGUUGGAAAGUUUCGGCGGUUGGGGAUGGACUCGCGGCUUAUCAGCUUGUUGGUGGGGUAGUGGCUUACCAAGGCUUUGACGGGUAGCCGGCCUGAGAGGGUGACCGGCCACAUUGGGACUGGGAUACGGCCCAGACUCCUACGGGAGGCAGCAGUGGGGAAUAUUGCACAAUGGGCGGAAGCCUGAUGCAGCAACGCCGCGUGCGGGAUGACGGCCUUCGGGUUGUAAACCGCUUUCGCCUGUGACGAAGCGUGAGUGACGGUAAUGGGUAAAGAAGCACCGGCUAACUACGUG